Molecule: long non-coding RNA, 2697 nt
Organism: Canis lupus familiaris (dog)
Lineage: Eukaryota; Metazoa; Chordata; Mammalia; Carnivora; Canidae
Exons: 3
Source: RefSeq, a predicted model, not a curated record
GGGCUGCUCCACAUUGCCCUGUCCCACAUGCACGUCCGCGCCUUUGCAAGCUACUCAAGAAAAGCCAGAAGUGGAGCCCUUUCUCGGAAGCUCGGCGGUCACCGAAACAUAAAGAUCUUACUUUAUGAAGAAGGCCCACUGCUGGAGGAGCCAUAGAGGACAUUCCAUCACCAGAAGGACCAAGCUGUUAUUGCCGACAAAUGAAAAUCCUCCACUAGAGAACCUGCGUGUGUCCACAGUCCUUCGGGCACAUUUAACCAUCUUGGAGCCACCGGUGACCCCUCUUCCUGGAGAAGAAGGUGGCAACAAUUUCCACGGGAAGAUCAUGCCUUGCUCUGCCAACCUUGGUGAACUUAACAAAACCCAAAACCUGGGAACUCAUCUUAAAAACAAGCACAACACAACAAACAUACAAGGUAACCAGAAAGGCCUCCCCUUGCUGAGAGAGACAUCAGCCAGAUUCUCUGGUCAGGAGGAAGAUGCUACAUUGUCUUCCUGGCUGCGGGAAAGUGAAGGCCUGACUACGAGCCGGUGUAAGACGUAGGCUUUUUUGGGUGGUAGCUCAGGUGAAGAGGCUCCCACACAUCUGUCCAAGGCUUUUCCACUGGGGAAACUGUUACUAGAGAACUGGUUCCCAAGUCAGGCUGGCUGCAAGCUGCUGAAAAAUCAGUAGUCAGAGACAAAUGAUGGUGGGAAGGGAAAAGUGGCUUUAGUCAAGAAGCCAGCAACCUGGGAAGAUGGUGGGCUAAUGUCUCAGAGACAGUUGCUCUGUCCAGGUGAAGCAGAGGGCAGUGAAGGGGCAGGCAUGGGGAUAGAGAGGAGACUACACGUAGGAGAAGUGGUUGCCCAGACUGCUACAUAUGUGGACGUGACCCUGCACAGACUUGCUGGACUGGAGGCAGCUGUUCUUGAAGACAGCCAGGCCUUGUCUUCUGGAAAAGCCUGGUCCUUCACUCCUCAAGCCAGUGGUCUGCAGAUCCCAAGGAAAGUACGUGAUUUCUGCUAUAGACUUAGGUCAGCAUAAGCUUGAAUCAGGUUAAUCCUUAAGACUGGUUGGAGUGGUGACAAAAUUACUGGGAAAUUCACUCCUUUUCCCCACAGAGAGAAACUGAAAGAAGCAAAAGAGAAUCAAUAAUACAACAGUAAAAUCAAUUUGCAGCAUUUGUGUUUUUAUGUUAGUGAGAAAGAUCCACUGUAAGAGUUAAUAUAUACAUUUUCUGUUUUUUUUUAAAUCUUUUUUAGAUUUUAUUUAUUCAUGACAGACACACAGAGAGAGGCAGAGACAUCAGCAGAGGGAGAAGCAGGCUCCCUUGGGGGAGCUGGAUGUGGGACUGAUCCCAGGACCCUGGGACCAUGACCUGAGCCAAAGGCAGAUGCUCAACCACUGAGCCACCCGGAUGCCCCUCAUGUUCUGGCUUUACCUUUUGAAUUUAAAAGUUGUAUCAAAAUACCUUAUGUUGCCAUCAUCCAGGUUUGGUACAACCUUUAGUACAUCCAGGUUUAGUAUAUUUGGGGAAGGGGGCAAAUACUAAGAUCAUCGCUUCCACAUUCCCAUUGAGCUCUAUAACAGUUUCCUGGCCAGAGGGAACCUCAGAGGCCCAUGCUCCUUGUAUUAAGCAGGUAUUGGUACUUUACAAAGGGAAGCAAACUGCAAAAGGAUUUUUAUUUUAUUUUACUUUUUACAUUUCUCUGUCUAGGCCAAAAUAUACCUGUGGAUAUUUUGACACAUAGAAAGUAAAACCAGUAACAGAAAAACAAACAGUCCCAACUCAGAACAAUGAUUGAAAAAGAUAAAAAUGGAGAUAUGGAGAAAAAUAAUUUACAAUUUCAUUAUUUCAGAGGAAAGGUAGAGCAAAAGGAGUGGUAGGUGGUUAUAAAUUUGUAGAAGUGAGAAGGAGACUGUAAGAAAUGGAAUGGAAUCAUCUUUGGAAGGGAAAGGGAGGCUUUGAAUUCAAAGAAGUAAAAUUUUUAAAAAGAUUUUAUUUGUUUGAGAGAGAGAGAGAGAUAGUGAGAGCAAGCAUAAGCAGGGGGAGAGGGAGAAGCAGGCUCUCCGUGAGCAGGGAGCCCCACAUGGGCCUCAAUCUGAGGCCUUGGGAUCAUGACCUGAGCCGAAGGCAGAUGCUUAACUGACUGAGCCACCGAGGCGCCCUCAAAGAAAUAAAUUAAUCACACCUGGCUGUCCAUGACUCACUUUGUGAUUAGUCCAUAAAAGAUCACUCUCAGUUCUACUUUGAUAGCAUUGUUUUUCCUUGUCAUGCCUGGUAUCAAACCCUUUCAUCUCCAUCAACAUAUAGAUCCUCUGUAAAGUGUUUAAUAUUAUUCUUUAGAAAAAAAGCUAUUCUCCUUCACAACAAAAGAAACAGUCAACAGAAUAAAAAGACAACCUACAGAAUAGGAGAAAAAUUUUGCAAAUCAAGUAUUGAAUAAGGGGUUAAUAUUAAAAAUUUGUAAAGAAUUCAUACAACUUAAUAACAAAAUAGCAAUCUGAUACUUAAAUGAGCAGAGGAAUUAAAUAGACAUUUUUGCCAAGGAAGACAUUCCAAUGGACAGAAGGUACAUGAAAAGAUGCUCCUUAUCAUUAACUGUCAAGGCAAUGCAAAUCAAACCCACAAUGAGGUAUCACCUCAUACCUGUCUGAAGAGCUAUCAUCAAGAAGACAAGUGAUAACAAGUGUUCAGGAGGAUGUGGAGAAAAGGA